UACAGAGGUCUCAAGCGUUGUUCGGAUUCAUUGGGCGUAAAGGGUGCGUAGGUGGCGCGCUAAGUCAGGUGUGAAAUCUCGGGGCUUAACUCCGAAACUGCAUUUGAUACUGGCGUGCUUGAGGACUGGAGAGGAGACUGGAAUUCAUGGUGUAGCAGUGAAAUGCGUAGAGAUCAUGAGGAAGACCAGUGGCGAAGGCGGGUCUCUGGACAGUUCCUGACACUGAGGAACGAAGGCGAGGGGAGCAAACGGG
This 253-nucleotide ribosomal RNA is filed under the name uncultured bacterium. Its description in RNAcentral is "partial 16S ribosomal RNA". It matches the Rfam family "Bacterial small subunit ribosomal RNA", at positions 524 to 776 of the family's 1533-position model. The record is from RNAcentral.